Molecule: ribosomal RNA, 468 nt
Filed under: uncultured bacterium
Lineage: Bacteria
Description: partial 16S ribosomal RNA
Rfam family: Bacterial small subunit ribosomal RNA
Source: RNAcentral
GACGAACGCUGGCGGCGUGCUUAACACAUGCAAGUCGAACGGAAAGGCCCUGCUUUUGUGGGGUGCUCGAGUGGCGAACGGGUGAGUAACACGUGAGUAACCUGCCCUUGACUUUGGGAUAACUUCAGGAAACUGGGGCUAAUACCGGAUAGGAGCUCCUGCUGCAUGGUGGGGGUUGGAAAGUUUCGGCGGUUGGGGAUGGACUCGCGGCUUAUCAGCUUGUUGGUGGGGUAGUGGCUUACCAAGGCUUUGACGGGUAGCCGGCCUGAGGGGGUGACCGGCCACAUUGGGACUGAGAUACGGCCCAGACUCCUACGGGAGGCAGCAGUGGGGAAUAUUGCAAAAUGGGCGGAAGCCUGAUGCAGCAACGCCGCGUGCGGGAUGACGGCCUUCGGGUUGUAAACCGCUUUCGCCUGUGACGAAGCGUGAGUGACGGUAAUGGGUAAAGAAGCACCGGCUAACUACGUG